AAACCAACUGGGAUUACCUUAGUAACGGCGAGUGAAGCGGUAAAAGCUCAAAUUUGAAAUCUGGUACUUUCAGUGCCCGAGUUGUAAUUUGUAGAAUUUGUCUUUGAUUAGGUCCUUGUCUAUGUUCCUUGGAACAGGACGUCAAAGAGGGUGAGAAUCCCGUUUGGCGAGGAUACCUUUUCUCUGUAAGACUUUUUCGAAGAGUCGAGUUGUUUGGGAAUGCAGCUCAAAGUGGGUGGUAAAUUCCAUCUAAAGCUAAAUAUUGGCGAGAGACCGAUAGCGAACAAGUACAGUGAUGGAAAGAUGAAAAGAACUUUGAAAAGAGAGUGAAAAAGUACGUGAAAUUGUUGAAAGGGAAGGGCAUUUGAUCAGACAUGGUGUUUUUUAAAUGUGCAAGUCUCUCGUGGACAUGUGCCUCUGGAAAUUAACACUGGGCCAACAUCAGUUCUGGCGGCAGGAUAAAUCAUUAAGAAUGUAGCUACUUCGGUAGUGUUAUAGCUUUUUGGAAUACUGCCAG
This 517-nucleotide ribosomal RNA is filed under the name uncultured Hanseniaspora. Its description in RNAcentral is "eukaryotic LSU rRNA". It matches the Rfam family "Eukaryotic large subunit ribosomal RNA", at positions 62 to 578 of the family's 3401-position model. Lineage: Eukaryota; Fungi; Ascomycota; Saccharomycetes; Saccharomycodales; Saccharomycodaceae. The record is from RNAcentral.